UGCAAGUCGAACGAGAAUCUACUGAAGGAGGAUUCGUCCAACGGAAGUAGAGGAAAGUGGCGGACGGGUGAGUAACGCGUGAGGAACCUGCCUUGAAGAGGGGGACAACAGUCGGAAACGACUGCUAAUACCGCAUGAUGCAUAGGGGUCGCAUGAUCUUUAUGCCAAAGAUUUAUCGCUUCAAGAUGGCCUCGCGUCUGAUUAGCUGGUUGGCGGGGUAACGGCCCACCAAGGCGACGAUCAGUAGCCGGACUGAGAGGUUGAACGGCCACAUUGGGACUGAGAUACGGCCCAGACUCCUACGGGAGGCAGCAGUGGGGAAUAUUGGGCAAUGGGCGCAAGCCUGACCCAGCAACGCCGCGUGAAGGAAGAAGGCUUUCGGGUUGUAAACUUCUUUUAAGAGGGAAGAGCAGAAGACGGUACCUCUAGAAUAAGCCACGGCUAACUACGUGCCAGCAGCCGCGGUAAUACGUAGGUGGCAAGCGUUGUCCGGAUUUACUGGGUGUAAAGGGCGUGCAGCCGGGUCUGCAAGUCAGAUGUGAAAUCCAUGGGCUCAACCCAUGAACUGCAUUUGAAACUGUAGAUCUUGAGUGUCGGAGGGGCAAUCGGAAUUCCUAGUGUAGCGGUGAAAUGCGUAGAUAUUAGGAGGAACACCAGUGGCGAAGGCGGAUUGCUGGACGAUAACUGACGGUGAGGCGCGAAAGUGUGGGGAGCAAACAGGAUUAGAUACCCUGGUAGUCCACACUGUAAACGAUGAAUACUAGGUGUGCGGGACUGACCCCCUGCGUGCCGCAGUAAACACAAUAAGUAUUCCACCUGGGGAGUACGAUCGCA
RNAcentral lists this ribosomal RNA (834 nucleotides) under uncultured bacterium. RNAcentral describes it as "bacterial SSU rRNA". It matches the Rfam family "Bacterial small subunit ribosomal RNA", at positions 56 to 890 of the family's 1533-position model. The record is from RNAcentral.